CUGCCCACCUUGUCUGAGUGUAGGUUCCUCCCAGGCCUGUGGCGUCAUGGUCACACGGCAAGCAGCCCCAGCCCACAACCCCCGUGACAGACAACUGUGUACCUGAUACCCCAUAAAGAAGCUUCCUAUGGAGUCCCCAUGGCCAACACUGGGCCACACACCACCAACAGGGCCCUGGCUUAACCAGACCACUUCUCAGAUGAAAUCAACACCCAGAAAGACAGACCAGCUUGGCCAGCAGACAGCAGCAUCCUUACAGCCUCCUGUAAGUGCGGGACAAGCCCGUCCAGCAUCUCACCCCACCCCCAGAAACCUGUGUUCUGCCAAGCAGACUGUCCACCUAACAGCACCCGCCAAGCUCUGUAGCUGCCCGGAUUCAGACAAAUGGAAGCAGGGAUAAGAGGACAGGAGCUUGGGAUGGGACACACGUGGAACCCAGGCGAAUCACAAGCCUCACAAAAGCACUCCAGCUUUGGAGUCUAAAGAUACCUUCCUGAAAGUUAUUUUGUACAAUACUCAGCUCCUAAUAUCUCUCCUAAAAAGUCACUGGGCUUGCAAAAAGCAAGGUGGCCCUCCCAGCUUUCUGGGUGCAUCUGUGUUGUAUGUUCCGUGAGAGCACUGCAGAGAUGGGGGGGUGGAUAGGGAAGCAUGGUCGCAGUUCCCUGGCCCCCCUACAAGGUAAGUAUACAGUAGGUGAUCAGUAAACGCAGCCAAUGCCAACUGUCAGUGCCCGUGUCCCCAAGACCAUGAUCAGGCAGCAUGUGCCAGCUGUGGCCUUCUACCUCAAUGGGGGUCAGAGCCAGCAGUGACCACAGCCCUGAGGAAGGGAAACUGAAACCAGAGGAGGCAAUGGCCUGGAACAAGCCCUCAGUGAACCCCAGUCCCAUCUACAGUGCCCCUUUAUCCAUAAAUAUCCUCUACCUGCUGCAGGUUCCUCAGCCCCCUCCUCUCUGCAGUCUGACACUUGCUAGUCCCCUAGGUUGGUGGCUUUCAACCUUCUCAAUGCUGUGACCCUUUGACACAGUUUCUCAUGGUGUGGCCACCCCCCCACACCAUGAAAUUAUUUUCAUUGUUACUUCAUAGCUGUAAUUUUGCUACUGUUAGGAACUAUAAUGUAAAGUAUCCGAUAUGCUGACCUAUUUGAUGCCCCCACCAGGUGUCAAGACCCACGGGCUGAGAACCAUCAUGCCAGGUGCUAGCACCUCCGCAUCUACUUGCUAGCUCCCAGUAUAAGCCAGCCAAGUGUUCUGGAGGCUCAGCUGCCUCUGCUCAUCAAGUGCCCCCAUGGGUCAGGGCCACUGUCACCUGCCUAUGGCUCAGCUUUACCUACAGCUCUGCCUCUCCUGCCAGGUGAUAAGACCCACCUCAUACCUCGCCCCUCAGGUCAGUCCCUUCCCUCU
Molecule: long non-coding RNA, 1400 nt
Filed under: Mus spicilegus (steppe mouse)
Lineage: Eukaryota; Metazoa; Chordata; Mammalia; Rodentia; Muridae
Description: lncRNA (ENSMSIG00000021520.1)
Source: RNAcentral